RNAcentral lists this non-coding RNA (105 nucleotides) under Lachnospiraceae bacterium A4. Its description in RNAcentral is "ZMP/ZTP riboswitch aptamer (pfl RNA motif)". It matches the Rfam family "ZMP/ZTP riboswitch aptamer (pfl RNA motif)". Rfam says of the family: Previously known as pfl RNA. The record is from Rfam by way of RNAcentral. RNAcentral also lists the same sequence under 1 other name. Lineage: Bacteria; Bacillati; Bacillota; Clostridia; Lachnospirales; Lachnospiraceae.
AAACAGAUACACAACUGGCGGAGACAGCAUUGGCAGAAGAUGCUGUGUAGGAGCACCUACAGGGAGUGUAUGACGAGUUAGAAGCCGACCGCCUGGGCCCAUGAA